RNAcentral lists this ribosomal RNA (2175 nucleotides) under human gut metagenome. Its description in RNAcentral is "bacterial LSU rRNA". It matches the Rfam family "Bacterial large subunit ribosomal RNA", at positions 14 to 2254 of the family's 2925-position model. The record is from RNAcentral.
AGAGCGCACGGUGGAUGCCUAGGCACUAAUAGGCGAAGAAGGACGCGACUAACAGCGAAAUGCUACGGGGAGCAGUAAGUAGGCAAAGAUCCGUAGGUAUCCGAAUGGGGAAACCCACUAGUUAGAAGAGCUAGUAUCGAAUAAUGAAUACAUAGUUAUUCGAGGCGAACCCGGGGAACUGAAACAUCUAAGUACCCGGAGGAAAAGAGAACAAAAGUAAUUCCCUAAGUAGAGGCGAUUGAAAGGGGAGGAGCCCAGCACCAUGAAGAGUUAGAAAAUCUUUUUAUAGUAGAAUUGUAUUGGAAAAGCAAGACAAAGAAGGUGAAAUCCCUGUAUACGAAAUAAAGAGAUCUCGGUGUCGGAGUAGGGCGGAGCACGAGGAAUUCUGUCUGAAUAAGUGAGGACCAUCUCAUAAGGCUAAAUACUCAUUAGUGACCGAUAGUGAACCAGUACUGUGAAGGAAAGGUGAAAAGAACCCCUGGCGGGGAGUGAAAAGAACCUGAAACCGUGUGCUUACAAACAGUUAGAGCCCGUCAAAGGGUGAUAGCGUGCCUUUUGUAGAAUGAGCCGGCGAGUUACGUUAAUGUGCGAGGUUAAGUUUUAAGGGACGGAGCCGAAGCGAAAGCGAGUCUGAAGAGGGCGAAAUAGUAGAUUGACGUAUACCCGAAACCGGGUGAUCUAGCCAUGAGCAGGUUGAAGCUUGGGUAAAACCAGGUGGAGGACCGAACCAGGGUCUGUUGAAAAAGACUUGGAUGACUUGUGGCUAGGGGUGAAAUUCCAAUCGAACCCGGAGAUAGCUGGUUCUCCCCGAAAUAGCUUUAGGGCUAGCGUUAUGGAGAAGAGUUAUACGAAGGUAGAGCACUGAAUGGGUGAGGGCCUCAUCUCGAGGUACUGAUCUCAAUCAAACUCCGAAUGUCGUAUAAUAUACAUAGCAGUAAGACUAUGGGUGAUAAGGUUCAUAGUCAAAAGGGAAACAGCCCAGACCGCCAGUUAAGGUCCCAAAAUUAUGCUAAGUGGGAAAGGAGGUGGAGUCGCAUAGACAACUAGGAGGUUGGCUUAGAAGCAGCCAUCCUUUAAAGAGUGCGUAAUAGCUCACUAGUCGAGUGAUUCUGCGCCGAAAAUGUAUCGGGGCUAAGCAUAAUACCGAAGCUGCGGGAUUAGACAAAGAGUCUAAUCGGUAGGGGAGCGUACUAAACGCGAAGAAGGUUGACCGGAAGGGCAGCUGGAGAGUUUAGCAGUGAGAAUGCCGGUGUGAGUAGCGAUAAGAUGGGUGAGAAUCCCAUCCGUCGGAAGCCUAAGGGUUCCAGGGGUAAGGCUCGUCCGCCCUGGGUAAGUCGGGACCUAAGGUGAGGCCGAAAGGCGUAGCCGAUGGAUAUCAGGUUGAUAAUCCUGGACCACCGUAGAGCUGAAGGAGUGACGGAGGAGGGAAGUUAGGAUGGACUGGUGGAAUAGUCUAAUGAAGCACAAAGAGGGAUACGUAGGAAAAGCCGCGUAUUGAAACCUUGAAGUGUAAACCGCAAGGCCUAAUGGACCACACUUCCAAGAAAAGCUUCUAGGAGUACUUUAUGGUGCCCGUACCGUAAACGGACACACGUAGGCGAGGAGAGAAUCCAAAGACGCGCGAGAUAAUUCUUGUUAAGGAACUCUGCAAAAUGACCCUGUAACUUCGGGAUAAAGGGGACUCUAGAGAUAGAGGCGCAGAAAAUAGGCCCAAGCGACUGUUUAACAAAAACAUAGGUUUCUGCUAAAGCGAAAGCUGAUGUAUAGGAGCUGACGCCUGCCCAGUGCUGGAAGGUUAAGAGGAGAUGUAAGUCGCAAGGCAAAGCAUUGAAUUGAAGCCCCAGUAAACGGCGGCCGUAACUAUAACGGUCCUAAGGUAGCGAAAUUCCUUGUCAGGUAAGUUCUGACCCGCACGAAAGGCGUAACGAUUUGGGCGCUGUCUCAACAAGAAACUCGGUGAAAUCAUAGUACCUGUGAAGAUGCAGGUUACCCGCGAUCAGACGGAAAGACCCCAUGGAGCUUCACUGCAGCUUAAUAUUGAUAUUGGGUGUGUGAUGUACAGGAUAGGUGGGAGACGAAGAAGCGAGUACGCUAGUAUUCGUGGAGUCAACGUUGGGAUACCACCCUUCAUACAUUUAGUAUCUAACUAGUAUCCAUAAUCUGGGUAUAGAACAG